UACGGAGGGUGCAAGCGUUGCUCGGAAUUAUUGGGCGUAAAGGGCAGGUAGGUGGUCUCAUUUGUCUGGGGUGAAAGCCUUGAGCUUAACUCAAGAAGUGCCUCAGAAACGGUGAGACUGGAGUCCUGGAGAGGGUCGUGGAAUUCCCGGUGUAGCGGUGAAAUGCGUAGAGAUCGGGAGGAACACCAGAGGCGAAAGCGGCGACCUGGACAGGCGCUGACACUCAACUGCGAAAGCGUGGGGAGCAAACAGG
This 253-nucleotide ribosomal RNA is filed under the name uncultured bacterium. Its description in RNAcentral is "partial 16S ribosomal RNA". It matches the Rfam family "Bacterial small subunit ribosomal RNA", at positions 524 to 776 of the family's 1533-position model. The record is from RNAcentral.